Long non-coding RNA from Pleuronectes platessa (European plaice), 394 nucleotides. RefSeq lists it as uncharacterized. The record is from RefSeq and is a predicted model, not a curated record. Lineage: Eukaryota; Metazoa; Chordata; Actinopteri; Pleuronectiformes; Pleuronectidae. The transcript has 3 exons.
CCACAGGAAACUCUCUGCACAUCCUGAUGUUCAUCGUUCCUGCUCUACUUGUCCUGAUGAUCAUCAUUUUAAUCGUCGUAGUUUUAAGACUCAGGAAGAAGAAAUCUAUUCAACAAGGAACAACAAACACCAAAUCCCCUUCUGGAUUUUUGGGUUGGUGUAAUGGUACCAGGAGGAGGAGCCUGACAAAUGAGAAUGUCUCUGUGGAGCCUUUCAGGAGCAGAGACGACCUCUUGACAGAGCAGUGUCCGCGUCCAGAUGCCCAACGACACCAGCCUCUUCCAGACAGCACGUAAGACCACACCCACUCAACACACUGUCCCCACCCAGGACAAGGAACACUGUGUGGGACAGAGUCAGACAUGGACUGCUGCUCAUGCUGGAGUCAAAGCAU